AGCGUUUCAGACGACGAAAAAUUGGAAUGAUACAGAAAAUGCUUUUAUUUUUCAUUUGAAUAGUGGGGGUUUCGACCCUCAAAGCGCCAGGCAUUGUUGUUUUGCAAUUUUACUUUUUGAAUACGUACCAGUGGAUUGGCCGAAAAUUUUCAAAGGGGGGUUCUGAAAAUCUAAUUGCCAAGUUAGACUGUAUCAGCUAGCGGAUGCGGACUAUCCGCAAAUUUUCCACAAAAGUGUGGGUUAUCAGGCUUCUUUGACCUUGAAAUUGUCAAAUGACCUUGAAAAUCUGGAUCUUGAAAUUUAAAUUUUUAUUUAUAUUCAAGUAUUUUAACAUAUUUCAAAAGACUUUGAGAGGUGUUGAAAAUAUUAGGAUGACCUUGAGUUUGAGGUUGUCCCUGACCUUGAGAGUUUGACCUUGGCCUUUGUACUGGUUAAUCCAUGUAACUGUUGCCACAUUUCACUGUGAUAUACAAUGAUGACGAAUAGAUAGGGACAAAUGAUAUGAAGUGAUUAUAGUAGCAGACUCUGAGUAUAUCACGUAAAUGUGGCAACAUAAGACACGGAAUAACAAAAAAGAUAACAUCACAGGUCAUGCUCAGUCAUCUGUGACUGGUGACAUCACAGUUCAUGCUCAGCCAUCUGGAAAAAUGCUAGUUGUCAGAAAUACAAUACAGUUGACACAAACUAUUCAGCAGUGUUUCGAAACUGCUAAGACUAAGGUGCUUCUAAACGGAGUUUGGCGAACAUGAGUAAUUUUUUUAGCAUUUUAAAGAAAAAUCGGACAGAGAUGAAAAGAAGGGUUGACCUUUGACAUUUGAUUACCUAGGCCUACAUGUUUACAAAUUUUAAAAGGCAUGAAGUACACCAUUACGAUCACUAAAGCGAGUUUUAUUUGAAAGCUGUUUUUGUGUAUAAGUGCGCUUUGAGUUUUUUUCGGGAUAAUUAGGCGCUGCACAAAUAAAGAGUUUGGGAACUGAGUGAUUAGUCGAUUGAAAAUUUUUAGUCAUUUAAGAUGGUUGAAAUUGCUAUAAUGCCAUUACUUUUAUUAUUUCAAACUCAUUCGGAGUCUAUGGGAACCGAAACAUUUCAAUAUUGGUUUUUAAUUUAUUUA
Styela clava is the source of this 1111-nucleotide non-coding RNA. Lineage: Eukaryota; Metazoa; Chordata; Ascidiacea; Stolidobranchia; Styelidae. The record is from RefSeq and is a predicted model, not a curated record.